RNAcentral lists this long non-coding RNA (241 nucleotides) under Manihot esculenta (cassava). Its description in RNAcentral is "long non-coding RNA (MESC_LNC002043)". Lineage: Eukaryota; Viridiplantae; Streptophyta; Magnoliopsida; Malpighiales; Euphorbiaceae. The record is from RNAcentral.
CGUCCCUGGCACGAUGUAAGAGAAAGUCCAGGUUGUACCCAUUCUACGUCCCUGACACAUUGGUAUGUAUGAUAUGUUAUGUUAAGAGAAAGACCGGUUGUACCCAUUCUACGUCCCGGCACUUUAGAAUGGAGAGGACUAUAGGUGACAAUACCAUCCGAGAUGUGAUUUGUUGUGAUGUGUUGCAUUUCAUGAAAGCAUGAAAUUUUAAUAUAUGAUUUCACUAUUAUGCUCACUGGGC